Molecule: small nuclear RNA, 20 nt
Filed under: Arabidopsis thaliana (thale cress)
Lineage: Eukaryota; Viridiplantae; Streptophyta; Magnoliopsida; Brassicales; Brassicaceae
Description: snRNA_06234
Source: RNAcentral
CUUUUGCAUAUCCUGGAAUA